UAUCAGGUCGUAGGGGGUGUAACGUACCCUCUAGCCCUCUACGCGUACGGCAGUUGGGAGACAUAGCCCGGGAGAUGGAUUCUGAGACACGAAUCCAGACCCUACGGGGUGCAGCAGGCGCGAAAACUUGGCAAUGCGAGAAAUCGUGACCAGGGAACUCCAAGUGCAUCGGGUAAGACCGGUGCUUUUCUUGACUCUAAAUAGGUCUUGGAAUAAGGGGUGGGUAAGGACGGUGCCAGCCGCCGCGGUAAUACCGGCGCCUCAAGUGGUAGUCGCUUUUAUUGGGCCUAAAACGUCCGUAGCCGGUCUGAUACAUUCGUGGGUAAAUCAACCAGCUCAACUGGUUGAAUUCUGCGAGGACGGUCAGACUUGGGACCGGGAGAGGUGUGGGGUACGCUCAGGGUAGGGGUAAAAUCCUGUCAUCCUGAGCGGACCACCUGUUGCGAAGGCGCCACACUAGAACGGAUCCGACGGUCAGGGACGAAGCCUAGGGGCACGAACCGGAUUAGAUACCCGGGUAGUCCUAGGUGUAAACGCUGUGGACUUGAUGUUGGGGGUGCUCCGAGCACUCUCAGUGUCGAAGCGAAGGUGAUAAGUCCACUGCCUGGGAAGUACGGUCGCAAGGCUGAAACUUAAAGGAAUUGGCGGGGGAGCACCGCAACCUGAGGAUUGUGCGGUUUAAUUGGAUUCAACGCCGGG
Molecule: ribosomal RNA, 699 nt
Filed under: uncultured euryarchaeote
Lineage: Archaea; Methanobacteriati; Methanobacteriota
Description: bacterial SSU rRNA
Rfam family: Archaeal small subunit ribosomal RNA
Source: RNAcentral